This is a long non-coding RNA of Biomphalaria glabrata, 7832 nucleotides long. RefSeq lists it as uncharacterized. NCBI's taxonomy places the organism in Eukaryota, Metazoa, Mollusca, Gastropoda, Planorbidae. The transcript is spliced from 4 exons. The record is from RefSeq and is a predicted model, not a curated record.
GGACCUAUGAAAAUAGUUGAAAUAGAUGAGAGACAAAAAUGGGCAAAUCUAAGACUAAGUAUAACACUAAUAACAGAGGUAGACACAUCAAGGGUAGCUGGGUAUUUGGUGGCUUAAAACGAGGCAGUAGAAAAUGUUUUUUAAUAUCUGUCGCAAAAAGGGACAAGGAAACAAUCAAACAUUGUUAAAAUUAAUAAUAUAAAACAUAGAGCCACAAACAACUAUUGUUAGUGAUUGCUUUAGAUCGUAUGCCUGUCUUAAUAAUGAAGGUUUUAAACACCUUACAGUCACAGUGAAACACAAGUAUUGUUUUGUGAACCCAAAUAAUAGCGCGCAUACACAGAAUGUAGAAAGAUUGUGGAGGGAAGUUCUGUCUCUGGUUCCCAGAUACAGCAACAAAAAACACCAUUUAGAUGGACAUUUAGCGGAAUUUUUAUUCCGAUAUAAAUAUCCAGAUUACAAAACAAGAAUUCAUAACAUUUUUAAGGCUAUAGGGGAACUAGAUUUUGAAAAGUAUGAAGAUGUAUUUGAACAUGAACAUAGGCCUACCAUAAAUUUAACAAGCGUAGAGUGUGACAUCGACUUAGUAUCGGAAAGAUCAAAUUCUGAUUCUGAGUCGGCCAGGGAAAGUGAAAAGUUUCAAAAUACUCAUAACAUUGUAGUGAAAAGGUUGCCGAUGACUCAGGAGUAUAAAUUCCUCUCAACAACAUUAGAGAAAGAGGGCCGACUAUUGAGUUAUGUAAUUGCCAAUGGCAACUGAUUUUUCUGAGCAGUAUCUGCUAGCAUUUAUGGAGAUGAUGCAUACUAUGCAUCUUUUAGAACUAUUACUGUUCAAUUCUUGACUGACCACCAGAACCACUUCAAACAAUUUAUUCAUAGAUGGAGAACAUGUCCACGGACAAAUACAGACUAUGUCAGAAAAUGGUUGUUGGGCAACAACAUGUGAGCUGUACGUAGAUGCCACUGUACUGCAGAGAGAACUGUAUGUCUUUAUGCCACACAGUGGAAACACAGAAUACAAGUGGAUACUAAUACUGCCUGUAUUUCCUCACCAGGAAAUGUUAAUUGGAGGCUGAAAUGCAAGCAUGUCAAGUAGAAACAGCAGUGCACUCAGUAACAUUACAUGUUCAGCCACAAUCCAUUGUUUUUUUGGAUCAAUACUGGAAGCAGCUACAAAAGGCUCAUACCAUAAAGCAAACUGUGUAACUAUUGAACAUCAUAAAGUGCGGAUGAAAUCUGGUGGGACGCAGACUGAUAGCUUCAUUCUGAUUGUAUGCUCAACUUAAAAAAAAACCUGUAAGAUUCAAGAUUCUUAUGAACAUAAUGCGCUACAUGAGCUCAUUUUCAUCCAAAUCAUCUAGAAGGGAUUCAACAUUACAAGUAAAAAUGUUAGUAACAAUUUUAAAGAUUUUAGCUCUGAUGUCUGUGGAGAAAAUUUACAUAAAGAAAAAAAAAUUGUGUCUUGGAGACGUAUUUUGCAACUUUUGCUAAAUAUCUUAUUUGUAAUGUUUUAAAAAUGUUGAUCUACUCUUCUGUAACAAUGGUAGCUGCUUUUUAUUGUAUAUGUGAAAAAAAUUACACAUGGGAAUGGUGCAGACGAACUUUACAUAGCCAAAUGCCUUUGGGUAACAUUUUGACAUCAGCUGCCAUAAUUAUUACUGGAUUAUUCCUUUCCCUCUUAAAUUCUUAAGAUUCUUUAAUUUUCUAUGUAUGCCUGAUUCUUUAAGUUUCUCUGUAUGCCUGUUUAUGCCAGCCUUUAAAAAUGAUCAUCUAACACUUCUGGAUCAAUGUUACGGCAAAUGUGAAAAAAUUUACACAUGGAAGUGGUGUAGCCUACCUUGACCUAAAGCCAUGGGGUAACAUUGUGACAUCAGCUGCUCUAAAAAUAAUUAUUUCUGGAUUAUCCCCUCUAAAAGUCUUAAGAUUCUUCAAAUGUUUCUACAUACCUGUCAAUGUUAUCCUUUAUAAAUGUUCAACUAAGCACUUCAGGAACAAUGGUAACUGCUUACGGCAUAUGUUUAUGGCACAUGGAAAUGGCCUCAGCCAACCUUGACAUAGGCAGCCUUGGGAUAGCUUUUUGACUUCAGCUGCCGUAAUUAUUUCUGGAUUUUCCUCUCUAAAAGUUCUAAGAUUGUUCAAGUGUCUCAAAAUACCUAUUUAGGCUAUCCCCCUUUCUUUAAUUCUUAAAAAAAAAUAUACAUAUCCAACCAAUAGUUAGAAAUUUUGGGGAGAAAUAACAAAAAUAUUAGUCAUGGCAAAAAAUUAAAACUAGAAAUGAACCUAUUAUCAGAUGAGAUGCUAAAUAAGAUUCUCUAGGACACGGUAAUAGGUAGCCAUACAUGCAUAGUCAUAAAAAGUAGCUGUGCUACCCAAUGAAGGGAAGGGCUCGUAUCAUAUGGAACUUAAAAGAUUUCAAUGUUGUUUAACCUUUUUAUAAUAUUAGUAGAUCCAAAAUUGUCAGUGAUAGACAUGUUGAGGAGAAAAUUUUGAAGAGUAGAAAGUCCAUUAAUUUUAAUGAUGCCAUCAAGGCUGAACACUUGAAUCCACAUGAUAUGGUCUCUUUAACCUUAUCGUAACUAAGAUAAUAGCACAUUCCCAUAAAUAAAUGUAAUGGUAUCUAAAUUAUUUCCACAGAAUUAUAUAUUAUAUUAUUAGUUCUUAAUAUUAUUUACUUAGAGCUAUAAGAAAAGACCAAUGGCAGCCUCUAUUGCGCUUGUUUUUAAUUUAAUGGUUAGACCCUUGAAAAACAUGAUGUUCACAGACUCCUCAGCUACUGGGGUAUAAAAAUAGUUUGGUUUCUUCGUUUCAUUUCACCUAUUAAAUUUAUAAUUCAAGGCAACUUGCAUUAGUGUUGGACCUAAUCUGCAUAAUGAACGAGCAGUAGUAGAAAUGAGGGAAAUAGUAUUUAUAAUAUUAAAUUGUGCUACUGUCAUCAAAUUUCUUCCACUGAAUCAUUUCUAACUUUACUCUUGCUUAUGGCAUUAAAUUUCUUGUCACUCCUUCUCCCUGCUGACAGAGGAAGGUCUUGAUAAUCUAAUCUUGAGUUUGAUUUAGAGGUUUCUGGUGAGAAUAGGGAUGGUGCAUAGAAUGUAGAAGUCUCAAGUUGCUUUUGGGAUGUUAGAGAUUCUUCAAGUGGAACUGGGGAUGCAUUAGUUGUUUUUGAAGAUAUACUUUGUGAAGAUCUUUCUGCUUAAGUUGAGAUUGGGGAGGUGGAUCUAUAAGCUUGAUUGUUACACAACUUUUUGAACAUGUUUAUUGUUGUGACGUUAAAAAACUGCUUUGUGCUUAUUCUGGUGUGGCCAUUUUAACUUAACUAAAUGGUUAAACAGGUUUCAAAAUUCCUGCAAAGCUCUAAUGUGACACCUUUGCCAGUAGUGGCAAUGUGUCUUCUGACAGUAUCUGUCCAUGCUGGCUUAAGAGAACCAAAGAAGGCUUGGUUAAGUGGUUGUAUUAGUUGGCUAGCAUUGGGCGGGAAACAGUACAGUAAGAUGUUGUUUUCAGAACACAAAAUGAAUGUUUCUAAUAAGAACAUGGGUACCCCGACAAAAUAGCGCAAAAAAAAAAAUCUUUUUUGUCCAUAAGGAAAUGAGUCUUACAAUUUGUGCAUUACACCAAACAAAACAUUGUAACUAUAAAAAAAACAAAAUGUACAUUCACAUUAUAUCAGAUUGUUUCUAUUUAAUGAUUUGAUUGCCUGGGGAAAAAAGAGUGUUUGUGUCUGUUUGUCUUUGCAAUUGGUUUCUUGUAUCUCUUUUGUGAUGGUAAAAUCACAAAAUCCUGACCCAAAGGGUGAUUUUUUAGUUCUAGAAUCUUUUUAGCUUUUUUAUGGAUGUUUGUCUCAAACAGCUGCCCAAAUGGAGUUUGUUUUUGCCAAUGACUUUACCAACAGCAUUUAGGAUUUUAUGGAGUUUAUUUAUAUUUUUAAUGCUCAGACAAUUUUUAAUGAUCUGACUAAUUUCAAUGCAUUUCUUCAAUGCAAAAUACUUUUUUCUUGUAAUUUCUUUUCUACGGAAAAUAAUAUCUUGUCCCUUGUCAUUCUCUCUUUUUUCUUUAAAGUUGCAUUUUUCAGCUUGGGACCUUAAUUGUGUAAUAAGCAUAUCACAUGGAAAGACUUUAUCCAUAUUCCAAAACCUAAAUGUUUCCAGAACUUCAUUUUUCCUUGGGUUACGAUUGUCAUUCAACUUCUUUAAUAACAUUUGUGGGUCAUUACAUCUUCAGUUUCAUCAUAUUUGAAAUGUUCACAAAUCUCUUGGGCCUGUGGUCCAGCACAGUGUAAGAUAAUGGCUUUUUGUCUGCUUUUAGGCUGCUCCUCUGCACCUAUAGCCAAUAGAAACCAUUUAAGUUGUCUUUUCCAUUGAUGGAAAUGUUCACAAAUGUUGCCAUCUACCAAGUUUAACUGUGAUGGUGGUCUGAGCUGACCUUCUGCCAUCUAGAUCUAUAUCAUGCCAGAUAUCUAGAUCUAACCAAAACUCUUGGUACCGCUGCAACCAUGUUGAUAACAUUUAUAAAAUAGCACAGAAAAAUAUAUUUCAGUCAUUUUGAAAAAAAUACAUAAGAUAGUGUAAAAUAUGAAUAGAGACAUUAUUUUUUUUUUUAAUGUUACCGUCAUUUUGCAGGAAACACUUUAGAUAUUUUAAAACAUAGAUAUGCAAACAGUAAGCAAAAAUUAUACUAAGCUAAAAUGAAUAAUUUCAAAAUAUAUCAUUCAUGUACACAUAUUUUGAAAACAGGCAAAGAUACUCAUCAGAUUUAUACACACACACAAACUUGCACAAAGUUAAAUUGUAAGCUAAAUGUCAUGUAGAAAUUCCAUCACUUGCUUGUUUCCGCACAUUAGCAAUAUACCUUCAUGUCGUCUGUUAAGUUGUAUCUACUUUGUCUUGCAGCUUGACUUCAUUCUCCAGUAUUGUACCUCAGAAUCUUGUUCUCAGUGUUCUCUUGUUCUCUGAGGAAGUGGGAGAUGAACUUGUAGACAUUGGGGUAAUGACCAUCAAUAGACAGCUGAAAUGCAUGGUGCUGUCCCUCCACUAAAUGCAAGGGUCAAUAUCCUGAAGGCAUUUUUCCAAAUUUGAAAACCAAUUUUUAACAUCUGUUGCUGAAAUGAUGGCUCUGUCUUUUCUGAGGGACCUAGGCAUUAUUGUUGCCAAUUCUAGAUAGCACUUAAAAAAUGAAUAUAACCAUUGUUUUAUUUCAUACUUCACUAUCUAGAGUAGGAUCUAUAUAAUUAUAUCUCUAGCUUUUCUCUUUUCUAUGUCUAUUUUUCUUUCUUCCGUUGGUAACUUUUUUCCUUUUCCAUGGCUAAUUUCUCUUUAUCCAUUGCUAACUUCUCUUUAUCCAUGGCUAACUUCUAUUUCUCUUCUUUAUGCAUAGCUAACUUUUCAUUUCCCCUUGCUAGCUUCUCUUAAUUUCUAUUUCUUCAAUUCUUUUUUGCAUAGCUAACUUCCUUUUUUCCAUGGCUAACUUAUCGUUCUCUAAUUCCUUAACCAAUAGCUAAAUUUUCGUUAUCCAUGGCUAACUUGUCAAAGUUCUUUUGACUUGGCUUGAGCCAAAAGUAACUUAGUUAAUAUCCGAAUAGUCCCCACUGACUAACACACUUUCUCUCACACACAAGGAAAACUAAAAUCAUUCAGUUCACAUCACAAGCAGACUGUUCACAUUCAUACCCUGGGAAUAUAUAAACAAAGGAGUGUAACUCUUUCAUACUCAAGUUACAAAUCAUAUCUCUCUACAUCUACCUUGACAUUUCUCUAAAUAACUUCUUUUUCUCUAAUUUCUUAUCAAUAGCUAAAUUCUCUUUAUUCAUGGCUAAAUUAUCUUUAUUGAAGGUCAAAUUUUCUUUCUCUUUUAUUAUAGCUAACUUAGCUCUCUCUAAAGCAAACUUUUCUCUUUAUAAUAAUCUCUUUUUUUUUGGCACAUAUUUUCCAAGUUCUGGACCUUUUAAAUUCAGUAACUUCCCCUCUUUCUUCAACUUAUUUAUGAAUUAUUCAACUUUAUCAAUUAAAUGUAUGUAUAACACAUAUACUUAAAGAUUAAACACAACUAAAUCAAAUAUAACAGUUAUUGUAAUUAUACUACUAAUGUCUAUAUAAACAAUAUAACAAUGUCUUUAAUAGUUAUAGAUAGUCUUCUUCCUGCUGGCAUAUAACUUUUAUUGUUGGAAUAACUUUCUGCUGUUAUUAUUGUGCUGUUUAUCAGUCCAUUGUUGUUUGAAUUGAAGAUUUGAUUCAGUACAUGUCUGUUCAAGUAUGAAACUAAAUAUAGUUUCCCAGUGUAGACCGUACAAUCAAAGGGCAAACAGGGGUGUCCUCAUACAACUCUUUCAUAAAGAACCUCAGGGCAGUGAACAUCGGCUGGGAAGGGGCUGGAGCUGUAGCCAGUAAUCGAUCUCUAAGGAGACAGCCCGCUGACUAAUGUGCCAAAUGGCACCGGGGGUGAGGGGGGGGGGGUGUAAUAAGUAAGUCAGUGACGUAGAUCACCACGCCAUUGUCAUGCAUUCCCUUAAGUGCUGAGCUGUUUUACAACGAGUGCAUAAAAAGCGGAGGCUAAACUACCACACGCGCCUUAAGGGUUAAAAGAAUGUGUUAAAUAUAAUUUGAGUCCAAUGGUAGGGGAUGGUUCCCUCUCACAUGUUUCAUAACCUUCUGGUUACCCGAAGCAAUUGUUUGAAUUUUUUAAAAGUAUCUCAAACUCUAGUGUUGAGCUUAAUGUGUUGAGUAGUGAUGCAGAGCUUGACAAUCUAGCAUAUGAUUUUCCAUUGACAGAACCCUUUGUUAUUGACAAUAAGCUCAUCAAAUGAAGAAAUACAGUCUGCUGAGUUAACGACUUCACUACACCUUUGCAUAUUAACCAUCACUGAUAAUAAUCGCAAGUGAACAUCUAAUCUUUGUAAUACAUGAAAGUCUAAUAAAAUAAGGCGACGUCUUGAUAUCAUACCAGGUACUCGACUCAGCUAGAACACCAUAAGCUUUAUAUAAAGUCUAGAUUUAUGGUUGAUUGAACACAAUUAGAUCUAGUUCCACCGAGUGAACAGCACAUCUAAUAGCUUGACUGUCAGUAGACGAGUUCAAUAUAAAUAAAAUGUAAGUCUUGCCUUUUACAUUGGGUGCCACUUGUUGCAAGCACGAGACAUUAAUACAUUAACACAGUAAGUUGCUCUAUUAAGAAUUUAAUCUUGAUUCAGUAAGUAAACAUUGUAUACACUAUUUAAUCAUAUUACUCCAUUUUCCUGCUUCUCUCUCCUUAUAAUGUCACUUACAUUCAACACACCCAUUCACACCACUUACAUGCUGCACUCCAACCAGAAGGGUUGAUACAUUUAAGGCAUAGACUAUAUAUAUACAGGACUGCAAACACUAAGGUAACUAAGCAUAAGUUUCGUUCAACACCAAACUCAUGGGCGAGGUACUUCCGGUAUAAACUUAUUUUGCGACAUUCAUGAAGUUUGAAUCAUGAUGCCAGCUUGGAUAAUAUUUUUUCUUUCUCUUUUCAUCACAUUUGACAAUUUCUUUUUACAUUGCAUACUAUUAAUAUUUUAGGGUUGACACUAAAUGUACAAAAUGUGUGUCCCACUUAUUAUACAUGGAUGAUCUAAAGCUAUAUGCAGAAACCAAGCAAAAAUUACACACCUUAAUCAAAACGGUAAAAUGCUUUAGUGACGAUAUCUGUAUGUCUUUUGGCCUGGAUAAGUGUGGCAUCAUAAGCAUUAAAAAGGGCAAGGCAACGAACACCAACAUUGAAUUUGAAGGCAUCGAGGAAUUGAACUCUGCCUCAAUUUAUAAAUAUCUUGGAAUAAACCAGAAUGCCAAGAUAAACCAUAAGAAAUUAAAAGAGGA